RNAcentral lists this ribosomal RNA (496 nucleotides) under uncultured bacterium. Its description in RNAcentral is "bacterial SSU rRNA". It matches the Rfam family "Bacterial small subunit ribosomal RNA", at positions 8 to 507 of the family's 1533-position model. The record is from RNAcentral.
AGAGUUUGAUCAUGGCUCAGGAUGAACGCUAGCGGGAGGCCUAACACAUGCAAGCCGAGCGGUAUUGUUUCUUCGGAAAUGAGAGAGCGGCGUACGGGUGCGGAACACGUGUGCAACCUACCUUUAUCUGGAGGAUAGCCUUUCGAAAGGAAGAUUAAUACUCCAUAAUAUAUUGAUUGGCAUCAGUUGAUAUUGAAAGCUCCGGCGGAUAAAGAUGGGCACGCGCAAGAUUAGCUAGUUGGUGAGGUAACGGCUCACCAAGGCGAUGAUCUUUAGGGGCCUGAGAGGGUGAUCCCCACACUGGUACUGAGACACGGACCAGACUCCUACGGGAGGCAGCAGUGAGGAAUAUUGGUCAAUGGGUGCAAGCCUGAACCAGCCAUCCCGCGUGAAGGACGACUGCCUAUGGGUUGUAAACUUCUUUUGUAUAGGGAUAAACCUACUCUCGUGAGAGUAGCUGAAGGUACUAUACGAAUAAGCACCGGCUAACUCCGUG